GAUGAACGCUGGCGGCGUGCUUAACACAUGCAAGUCGAACGGAAAGGCCCAAGCUUGCUUGGGUACUCGAGUGGCGAACGGGUGAGUAACACGUGGGUGAUCUGCCCUGCACUUCGGGAUAAGCCUGGGAAACUGGGUCUAAUACCGGAUAGGACCACAUUUUGGAUGGUGUGGUGGAAAGUUUUUCGGUGUGGGAUGAGCUCGCGGCCUAUCAGCUUGUUGGUGGGGUAAUGGCCUACCAAGGCGUCGACGGGUAGCCGGCCUGAGAGGGUGUACGGCCACAUUGGGGCUGGAACAGGGCCCCGAGCCCGCGGGGGGGGGGGAGGGGGGAAAUUGGAAAAGGGGGGGAGAGCCGGAGGCGGCCAGGCGGGGGGGGGGUGGAGGGCCUGGGGGUUGAAACCUCCUGGCGCGGGGGGAGAAGCUUUGUGUGAGGGGACCGGGAAAAGAAGCCCCGGCUAAUUACGGG
RNAcentral lists this ribosomal RNA (466 nucleotides) under uncultured bacterium. RNAcentral describes it as "partial 16S ribosomal RNA". It matches the Rfam family "Bacterial small subunit ribosomal RNA", at positions 28 to 507 of the family's 1533-position model. The record is from RNAcentral.